GCUGUUCCAGCAAAGCAAAAACGUCUGGGGCGAUGUGUGAAAGGCUUCACUCAAACAGUGUGGGACACGAUCAGUCUGGAGGUGAUGACCAAGGCAAUCACGGCCAAAU
Haliotis rubra (blacklip abalone) is the source of this 109-nucleotide long non-coding RNA. RefSeq lists it as uncharacterized. The record is from RefSeq and is a predicted model, not a curated record. Lineage: Eukaryota; Metazoa; Mollusca; Gastropoda; Lepetellida; Haliotidae. The transcript has 3 exons.